Saccostrea cuccullata (small rock oyster) is the source of this 984-nucleotide long non-coding RNA. RefSeq lists it as uncharacterized. The transcript is spliced from 3 exons. The record is from RefSeq and is a predicted model, not a curated record. Lineage: Eukaryota; Metazoa; Mollusca; Bivalvia; Ostreida; Ostreidae.
AGAAACACUUAAUGUCAACAAGAUUUUCUGAUUGACAAGAGAAAAGGUCAAACAGGAACUUCAAUUGUGAACAUUGCAGAGAACACACCCAUCAGAAGAUGACCCUCAGAAAUAGGACAAUUAAUGAAUAAAAUGGACAGAGGCAGAACUGAAGGAGAUGCAUGAAAUGAGGAAUAUUUCAAAGAUUGCCUGAGCAUAACCACUGCUACUGGAUAAACAUAUGGCAAUAUAAAAGAGCAGGGUCAAUGGAGGUAUCAUACAGUAUAGGCCAUGAGAGACCCUGAAGAAGAAAGUAUUGAACAGAAACAAAAAUAAAACCAUUUUGACAUUUAUUGAAAUAUAGGAUCAAAGUCUUACAUGUAAAAUUUGGGCAUGUAAUGACUUUUCUCUAGCUCUAAGACUUAUAACAGUGAUGAUUUGAUUUAAUAUCUUUAUCCCGAUUUGUCGAAAAGAUUUGGACAUAGUGCAUCAAUUAUUUUAAAGUUUUGAUACAACGAAUUCAUUCAUUGUACUUGUAACUGAGUUUUCUGGUGCGACACUGUUUUAUCGGCUUCAAAACUAAGUUUGUGAUUUCCAAACCAGAUUAAUGAGAUCAUGUAAUAUCUUUUAACAUCGGUGACUAUUUAAUCCAUUCUUUUACAUCCCAGAAGUAUUUUUAUUAUUACAGGGAAAAUAUGUAUUGUACAUGUAUCUGUAAUAAACAGGAUUAUAGAAAUUUUCCAUAUAAUACAACACAAUCUUAGCAACUGAAGGCAAAUAUUUUAUCAAGGGUGUGAUCUAUUUAUCAAUAUGGUUUUCAGCAUCUUGCUCUACCUGUAAUGACUUGCUCCAAGUUCCAAUAUUUAAAUUUAAAUUUUGCAAACAUGGUUAUAAAAUUCUUUAAAAGCCAAAUAGUUUAGGCACAAAAUGCUUAUAUAUUUCCUAUCAUUUGUAAAGUGUACACUGAAUGAGAUGUGGAAUGUUAGAAUUAAAGUAUUAAAUAUG